RNAcentral lists this ribosomal RNA (253 nucleotides) under uncultured bacterium. RNAcentral's name for it is "partial 16S ribosomal RNA". It matches the Rfam family "Bacterial small subunit ribosomal RNA", at positions 524 to 776 of the family's 1533-position model. The record is from RNAcentral.
UACGAAGGGUGCGAGCGUUAAUCGGAAUUACUGGGCGUAAAGCGUGCGCAGGCGGUGAUGUAAGACAGAUGUGAAAUCCCCGGGCUCAACCUGGGAACUGCAUUUGUGACUGCAUCGCUGGAGUGCGGCAGAGGGGGAUGGAAUUCCGCGUGUAGCAGUGAAAUGCGUAGAUAUGCGGAGGAACACCGAUGGCGAAGGCAAUCCCCUGGGCCUGCACUGACGCUCAUGCACGAAAGCGUGGGGAGCAAACAGG